This 7744-nucleotide long non-coding RNA is filed under the name Lactuca sativa (garden lettuce). Its description in RNAcentral is "long non-coding RNA (LSAT_LNC006165)". The record is from RNAcentral. Lineage: Eukaryota; Viridiplantae; Streptophyta; Magnoliopsida; Asterales; Asteraceae.
GUUAAUGAACUUGGGUGUUCAUUCGCUGUACUCCAUCCCCCUCAUGGUUGCCUUAUUUGACUUAUAUUGCUGAGGUACCCCCGAAGCAUGUGUUGUCGCCCCGAUGAAAUAUUCUUAGACUAGGUCCCUUAUGUUAGUUGUUUUAGGGACAUUAAAGUGAGAAUAACGGGAAUGGGUAAUUGGGUUAUUGUUGGUUGGUGAAAAUUAAAUAUGAUAUUUAUUGUGGGUUGAAAACCCUAUAUGCUCACCAGGCUCCCAAGCCUGACCCACUCAGUUUUAAAUUGUAUUACAGGUAGUGGCGGAAGGGCAUGAGAUGGAUGAACCAUCAAGUUGUUUUGUUUACAAGUCUGCAUAUGUUUAUAUUUGUUAUAUGACUUGUAAUGUAUUCGUUUAUGCUUAUUGGUCUGUAUCGGAACAUGACACCCCGAGUUUUGAUUAUAAUGAAAAUACAUUUCUUUUAUGAAAUGCUUCGGUAAACAAUGUUUUAUCAUGUUUUGUUUUUGGGAACAAAUUCCGCAACUCUUUCAAAUCAAAAGGAUUUACUCUGAAAAUAUUUAAAAGCAUAAAUGAAAAUCGGUCUUUUCUGGCCGAGAUUUUGGGGAUGUCACAGUUGGUAUCAGAGCAUUAGUUUAAGCGAACUAGGAAUUUGUAGGAUUUCUAGACUUAAACUUAGAAUGCUAAGUGAAGUUUUGAGAUGUGUGUCUGUUGUGAUUUAGACACGAGCACUAGUUUAUUUUAGGAAAGUUGCCUAAAAUGCUUUAUGUGCUAAAUGUUAUAUGUUGCCAUAUAUGAUAUUAUUUGUUCGGAUCUAUGGUCUGUUGCCGACCGGAUCUAGAAACCUUAUGUGUGUAGGAUUCUAAGCGUACGUCUACGAUAUUAGAACUAGCAUGUAAACGUUUCGGAGUGAUAAGGAUGAUUUGAAUAUCUAUCAUGAUUGAGGAUCUAAUUUCACCUUAUUCGGUGUAGAUCAAAAUGGUGAGAACAAGAAGUGGAGUUGGAAAUGCUGACGAAAACAGGAAUCAACCACCAGUGAUUGAGCCAAUACCUGUCGUAGCAGCAGCACCUGAGCCAAUAACCAUGGCUGGUGUGCAAUUGAUGAUUCAGACGAUGUUGGAUCGUCAGAUGGAUGAAACUAGACGGUUGCUUCAACAAAAUCGUGAAGAACUGUCGAUUCGUGUGGAAGAGCCUGAACUGAAUGAAGGGCACUCGGAAGGUGGAAACUUCAGUGGGUCUGUUGGUCCAGCCAACCCACCGAUAGUUAGGCAAGAUAACCAUGAUGGAAGGAAUGAUGGAAUGGGAUGCAAGUACAAGGACUUUUUGACUUGUAAACCAUCGACCUUCAAUGGAAAGGAGGAUCCGAUUGGGGUUAUGGAUUGGAUCUCCGAAAUGGAGUUAGCCUUUAUGACAUGUGGCUGUAGAGGCAAGUUGCAGACUAUCUAUGCCGUGCGACAAUUCCGAGGUGGAGCCGUUCGUUGGUGGAACACUCUAGGGAAGACCUUAAGCCCUAAUGAGCCACUGCAAUUGUCAUGGGCAGAGUUCUUGGUGCAGUUCAAGCGCAAGUUCUGCUCGGCUCAAAAUCUGUUGGAGUUGGAGAACAAGUUUUUGACAUUGACGAAGGGUAGCAUGUCAGUGGAUGAGUACACCAAUAACUUCACCGAUAAGAUGGAGUUUGCCUUGCGUAUCGUUCCAGACGAGCUGACAAAGGUGGAUCGGUAUGCGAAGGGACUUCCAUGGGAGUACGAGGUGCCGGUACGUCAGGCACUUACUCUAGAGGCAGCUAUCUGGGCUGCCAAGUCUGUGGAGAACAUGAUCAAGGGGAGAACCACCGUCAAGGUUGAGGUUGGUGAGAAAAGGAAGUUUGAAGGAACAUCUGGUUCCAGUAAGAAGAGCAAAUUUUCGAAAUCUGAUUCGAAAAAGUUUGGAGGAAAAGGAGGCGAAGCAAAGUGGUGUGAUAAGUGUAAGAAAAAGCACUUUGGGAAAUGUAGCGAGGAUGUGACCUGCUACAAGUGUGGAAAGGUUGGACAUUUUGCCAAUGAAUGUCCGAACAACAAAAGGAUGUGUUUUGGGUGUAAUGAAGAGGGGCAUAUUUUGAAAGACUGUCCGAAGAAGAAGGAGGCAGCUAGGCCCAACAUUCCACCAAAGCCGAAGGCGAGAGCCUUCCAGAUGACACUUGAGGCUGCGAAAGAUGAAGCUGAUGUCGCUUCAGGUACCUUUCUCGUAAACGAAUUACCUGCUCAUAUAUUGUUUGAUUCUGGAGCCAACUACUCCUUUAUUUCGCAUGAGUUUGGUAGAAAGCUAGCUUUGCCUGUUGAUAGACUAGAUAAUGCUUUAUUAGUCGAAGUAGCUAGUGGCAAGUUUGUACCUGUUAGCCAUCGUAUGAAAAACGUCUUGAUCGACCUUAAUGGGAAUAAGUUUCUCGAGGAAUUAUUGCCUAUCGAACUAAAUGGUUUCGACAUCGUCUUGGGAAUGGAUUGGCUUAGCGCCAAUGAUGCCGAAAUUUUGUGCAAGAAGAAGAUAGUUAAAGUAAACCCGCCUGGGAAAGAUUCGUUUAUGGUGUAUGGGGACAAACGCAGAGUGAAUUCUGGAAUCAUUUCUCUAAUGAAAGCCAGAAAGUGUUUGACCAAGGGAUGUACAUCAUAUUUAGCAUUCGUGAUUGAUGCUAAGAAAGAAAAGAAGGUGAUGCAGAGCAUUCCAGUGGUGUGUGAUUAUCCGGAAGUAUUUCCCGAGGAUCUUCCUGGAUUACCACCUGAUAGACAAGUGGAGUUCAGAAUAGACUUGUUACCAGGAACCACGCCAAUAGCAAAAGCACCUUAUCGAUUAGCACCGACGGAGAUGAAGGAGCUGAUGAUGCAACUUCAGGAGUUAUUGGACAAAGGUUUCAUUAGACCUAGUUCAUCGCCCUGGGGAGCUCCGGUGUUAUUUGUAAAGAAGAAAGAUGGAAGUAUGAGAAUGUGCAUCGAUUACAGAGAGCUGAACAAGGCAACAAUAAAGAAUAGAUAUCCGUUGCCGAGGAUUGAUGACCUGUUUGAUCAAUUGCAAGGUUCGAGCUAUUUCUCGAAGAUCGAUCUUAGGUCAGGAUAUCAUCAGCUGAAAGUAAGAGAGCAAGAUAUCGAGAAGACUGCAUUCAGAACUAGAUAUGGACACUACGAGUUCUUGGUUAUGUCGUUUGGACUAACCAAUGCUCCAGCAGCGUUCAUGGAUUUGAUGAAUAGGGUUUGUAAUCCUUUCCUUGAUAAAUCCGUGAUAGUGUUCAUAGACGACAUUCUGAUCUACUCGAAAAGCCAGGAGGAGCAUGGCAGACACUUGCGAGAAGUGUUAGAAGUUUUGAAGAAGGAGAAGCUUUAUGCGAAGUUCUCCAAAUGUGAUUUUUGGAUUCGUGAGGUCCAAUUCUUGGGUCACGUGGUCAACCAAGAAGGGAUAAUGGUUGAUCCAGCGAAGAUCGAAGCUGUGACGAAGUGGGAACAACCGAAAAGUCCCACGGAGAUUCGAAGCUUUUUAGGAUUAGCCGGAUAUUACCGAAGGUUUAUCCAAGGCUUUUCUUCGAUUGCUACUCCAUUAACAGCUUUGACCCACAAAGGAGCUACUUAUGCUUGGAGUGAGAAGCAUAAAGAAGCAUUCGAGAAGUUAAAGAAGAAGCUAUGCGAGGCACCGAUACUUUCUCUACCCGAUGGAGUUGAAGACUUCGCUGUUUAUAGCGAUGCGUCUGGUGUUGGAUUGGGUUGUGUUUUGACCCAAAGAGAAAAGGUGAUAGCAUAUGCGUCUCGACAGCUGAAAGAGCAUGAAAAGAAUUACCCGACUCAUGAUUUGGAGUUGGCAGCGGUAGUUUUCGCUCUGAAAAUAUGGAGGCAUUACCUCUAUGGCACGAAGUGCAAACUUUUCACUGAUCAUAAGAGUCUCCAAUACCUCUUUAAUCAGAAAGAAUUGAAUAUGAGGCAACGACGCUGGCUAGAAUUACUUAAAGACUACGACUGCGAGAUACUUUACCACCCCGGUAAAGCUAAUGUUGUUGCUGAUGCUCUCAGUCGGAAAGUCAAUCUUGAAAGGAAGAGGCCAAGAGCGUUGAGAAUUGAAGUUGUCUCGACUAUUGUGGAAAGUAUAAAGAAAGCUCAAGAGGAAGCUUCUGAGAAAAAUGACCGAAAGGAGGAACGUUUGGGUAAAACGUUGGUGUUUGGUACUAACGGUCAUGGACUGAAGGUAUUCCAAGAUCGUAUUUGGGUACCUAAGUCAGGAGGAAUUAGGGAUCUUCUGAUGGAAGAAGCUCACAAAACCAUGUACUCAAUUCAUCCGGGUAGCACUAAAAUGUAUAGGGACCUGAAACCCUACUACUGGUGGCCGACGAUGAAGCUUGAUGUUGCAAAGUAUGUGGCCGAGUGUGUGACUUGUGCGAGAGUCAAGACACAACAUCAGAAACCUUACGGGAGUUUAGAACCAUUGCCUGUGCCUAUGGGUAAGUGGGAAGACAUUGCUAUGGAUUUUGUCACUAAACUGCCCAGAACAAAGAAUGGUCACGACAUGAUUUGGGUGGUCGUUGAUCGAUUCACUAAGAGUGCGCAUUUCAUAGCGGCCAGGGAGAAAUGGUCUAUGGAAAAGCUUGCGAAUUCUUACGUGAAGGAAAUUGUGAGGCUUCACGGUGUUCCGUUAACGAUUGUAUCGGAUCGUGAUAGCCGUUUCACCUCAAGGUUUUGGAAAAGUCUACAAGAGGAAAUGGGUACCAAGUUAUGUUUAAGCACAGCUUACCAUCCGCAGACUGAUGGUCAGAGUGAAAGAACAAUACAAACACUUGAAGAUAUGCUGAGAGCAUGUACCUUGGAAUUCCUAGGUAAUUGGGAUGAACAUUUACCGUUGGUAGAAUUUUCCUAUAAUAAUAGUUUUCACUCGAGCAUUAAGAUGGCACCUUAUCAAGCUUUGUAUGGACAGAAGUGUCGUACGCCGUCUUGUUGGCUUGAGGCUGGGGAAAAGCAGUUUAUGGGACCGGAGAUGGUUCAUCAAACUGCUGAAAAGUUGAAAAUAAUUAGGGAAAGAAUGUUAGCAGCUCAAGAUCGUCAAAAGAGCUAUGCUGACAAGAAGCGAAGACCGAUGACUUUUGAGGUUGGAGAUUCGGUUUUGCUUAAAGUCUCGCCGUGGAAGGGACUUAUAAGAUUUGGUAAAAGGGGAAAGUUGAGUCCAAGGUUUAUUGGACCGUUUAAAGUCCUUCAGAGGAUUGGGAAUCAAGCUUACAAGCUCGAAUUACCCGAAGAACUGAAUGGAAUUCACAACACCUUUCAUGUGUGUUAUUUGAGGAAGUUCACGGGAGAAGUUCCCGAUAUAAUUCCAAUUUCUGAAUUGAGAAUUGAUGAGAACAAAAGGUUGAUUGAAGAACCAGAGGCAAUUGUUGACCGAAAGACUAAGAAGUUGCGACGCAAAAUGGUUGGGUUAGUGCUUGUCCGAUGGAAACACACGAAUGGGCCGAAUCUCACCUGGGAGACGGAGAGUGACAUGUUGAGUCGCUAUCCGCAUUUGUUUGUUGAUGUGUGAUUCCGGGGACGGAAUCAUUCUAAGGUGGAGAGAAUUGUAACGCCUGUGUUUCCGGGCUUGCCAUUUUUAGCAAUGUAAUAGUCUAGGUUAACCUUUGUAACCCGUUUUGAAAUAAUAAGAUUGUAUUAUUUGAGUAUUAUGUGUUUUGUGCUUAAUUGCUUAAUUAUGUGGUUUGAUUAAUUAAGAAUAAAAAUAAGCGUCAAAAUUUAAGUGUAAAAUAAACUUAAUAUCUUUGGUUAAUGUUGUAGUAGUUGAAACGAGGUUUCCGAAUAUAUAUAGAACGCCCAAAUCUGACUUCGUAUGAGGAAGUUAUGAUUUAUCGAAGUUCCGGCUUAGCGAUAUACAGCCUGUUUUACUCGAUUUGAGAUCGAGCGGUUGUUAGCCGAAGCAAUCUAAAUGAGAAUCGAAGAUCUCAUUGUUGGUAUUGAAACGAUAAAAAGUUAGGCGAGAACGGACGUCAAACGAAGAAGUUAUGAAUUUAUAACGAAAGUUUCUGUCCCGGCCUAUUAAAAAUAAUUAAUAAAAAUAAAGUCAAAAUUAGCCGACGGAGUCUAAACGAAAGUCGUAGAGCGUGGUCUCACCUUCGCGUGGAUAUAAAGAACGUCGAAAACGGAGUUCGUAUGAAGAAGUUAUGAAUUUCCGAAGUUUAUUAAUCAUUUUGUAUUUAUUUUUAAUUCAAAAUUCGGAAGCAUUAUCCGAAGGAGUCACCGAUCUGAUCCGAGGUACGCCCCGCGUACUCGAGUACGCCCCGCGUACUCCGAGGGAUGUCGACACUCGCACUCGAGCACUUCGGAUACGUAAGCAAUGACGUUUUGGGCAGUACGCCCCGCGUAACGCAGUACGCCCCGCGUACUCCGAGGCUCCAGCCUCCUAUAAAUAGGAUGCGAGGGUUCCGGGUAUUUUUGCCAAUUCCCUCUCGUUUUCGUGUCGAAGCUCUGUGCAAAAACCCCCGAAGCUACCCCGAAGUCCCGGUAUCAUACUCUAGCCCCGAGGCAAGUCCCGAGAUCCUGAAGAUCCCGAAAAGUGCGGUUCCCGAGUCGAAGCUCUGCCCGCGAGAAGUUCGAUUUUCGAGAAGAUCUUCCAGAUCUGCUGUGGAUUACUACUUCUAUAAGCCGUAGUGCUGUCCGAUCAUCUUCUGAUCAAGUGAGUGUGUAGUUAUUUCUUCUAAUACAAUAAUACGAAGUAUUUUAUAUAAAAAUACGUGCUAUGUGUAUAUAUUUGGUUGUGUUAUGUGUGAAUGAGUAUUCACUCUCUUCUAUCUUAUAGAUCUGCUUAUUUCUUUAUGAGAUAUGUGUUAUGUGUGUGUGUGCCUCAUCUGUUAUGUGAUAUAUGUGUUGAUUAAAGCAUGCUAUACAGGUUUUCUUUAAACUAUGUAUACAAAUGUAUAUUUUUAUCUACUAAUAUGUUGGGUAGAACAUGGGUAGACAGUUGGUGUGUAAUAAACAGAUGAGAGGCCUCGUUGUUGUUUGAUUGAGUCAUCUAGCGGAGUUUAGAUGACGACCACUGGCUAUUCUAGACAGUCUUGUGGAAACAUUAGCAGGUUCGCCACCUGUAGGUGUUAAUGAACUUGGGUGUUCAUUCGCUGUACUCCAUCCCCCUCAUGGUUGCCUUAUUUGACUUAUAUUGCUGAGGUACCCCCGAAGCAUGUGUUGUCGCCCCGAUGAAAUAUUCUUAGACUAGGUCCCUUAUGUUAGUUGUUUUAGGGACAUUAAAGUGAGAAUAACGGGAAUGGGUAAUUGGGUUAUUGUUGGUUGGUGAAAAUUAAAUAUGAUAUUUAUUGUGGGUUGAAAACCCUAUAUGCUCACCAGGCUCCCAAGCCUGACCCACUCAGUUUUAAAUUGUAUUACAGGUAGUGGCGGAAGGGCAUGAGAUGGAUGAACCAUCAAGUUGUUUUGUUUACAAGUCUGCAUAUGUUUAUAUUUGUUAUAUGACUUGUAAUGUAUUCAUUUAUGCUUAUUGGUCUGUAUCGGAACAUGACACCCCGAGUUUUGAUUAUAAUGAAAAUACAUUUCUUUUAUGAAAUGCUUCGGUAAACAAUGUUUUAUCAUGUUUUGUUUUUGGGAACAAAUUCCGCAACUCUUUCAAAUCAAAAGGAUUUACUCUGAAAAUAUUUAAAAGCAUAAAUGAAAAUCGGUCUUUUCUGGCCGAGAUUUUGGGGAUGUCACAUUAAUCAACUUCGAUUCCAAGUUAAACACAUCAAAUUCCAAGUAUACAUAACAAAAUCGUAUUU